This 328-nucleotide ribosomal RNA is filed under the name uncultured eukaryote. RNAcentral describes it as "partial 18S ribosomal RNA". It matches the Rfam family "Eukaryotic small subunit ribosomal RNA", at positions 1470 to 1796 of the family's 1831-position model. The record is from RNAcentral.
CCCUUAGAUGUCCUGGGCCGCACGCGCGUUACACUGAUGCAUUCAACGAGCUUAUAACCUUGGCCGAGAGGCCUGGGCAAUCUUGUUAACGUGCAUCGUGAUAGGGAUAGAUUAUUGAAAUUAUUAAUCUUGAACGAGGAAUUCCUAGUAAACGCAGAUCAUCAAUCUGCAUUGAUUACGUCCCUGCCCUUUGUACACAACGCCCGUCGCACCUACCGAUUGGAUGGUCCGGUGAAGCCUCGGGAUUGUGGUUCUUGCCGCUUUAUUGUGGCGUGACCGCGAGAACUUGUCUAAACCUUAUCAUCUAGAGGAAGGUGAAGUCGUAACA